GUUAUAGCUGUCAUCUGUCAGUCAAAGAAUUAUCUAAAAUCUUAUAAGAUCAAGUCACAUUGAAAAAAAUGAAAAGUGAAACUACCAAAGAUCAGUUAUCUUCAAAACAAGAAGCUAGAGCUAAACUUCGUGAAUCAUUUUUGAAGGCGGUUAACAGUUUACAUGGUGAAUGCUGUUCAAUCUUGACAUAUGAACAAUCUAAGUUAACAGGGACCUUCUCAAGUUGGAAACCCGAUGGCUCUGAAGUUUUAAUUCAUGAUUUGAAAACACCAGCAAAUAUUGUAAUGACAUCAGCAUUGUUAAGAAUUCCUGACAUUUUAGCAAUACAAUUUGAUAAACCUGUAAAAUUACAAUUAUGAUUAUUAUUGAUAUUUGUAUGAAUGCCGAAACAUAUUGGCUCUGUCAAAGAGAAUGAGAAAUGAGAAUAUGUGGGUGUUUACCUUACUAAUAUUAUUAAUGCAAAAGUUUAGAUAGAUAGAUGGAUGGAUGAUUGUUUGAAG
Molecule: RNA transcript, 500 nt
Organism: Papilio machaon (common yellow swallowtail)
Lineage: Eukaryota; Metazoa; Arthropoda; Insecta; Lepidoptera; Papilionidae
Exons: 3
Source: RefSeq, a predicted model, not a curated record